This 468-nucleotide ribosomal RNA is filed under the name uncultured bacterium. RNAcentral describes it as "partial 16S ribosomal RNA". It matches the Rfam family "Bacterial small subunit ribosomal RNA", at positions 28 to 507 of the family's 1533-position model. The record is from RNAcentral.
GACGAACGCUGGCGGCGUGCUUAACACAUGCAAGUCGAACGGAAAGGCCCUGCUUUUGUGGGGUGCUCGAGUGGCGAACGGGUGAGUAACACGUGAGUAACCUGCCCUUGACUUUGGGAUAACUUCAGGAAACUGGGGUUAAUACCUGAUAGGAGCUCCUGCUGCAUGGUGGGGGUUGGAAAGUUUCGGCGGUUGGGGAUGGACUCGCGGCUUAUCAGCUUGUUGGUGGGGUAGUGGCUUACCAAGGCCUUGACGGGUAGCCGGCCUGAGAGGGUGACCGGCCACAUUGGGACUGAGAUACGGCCCAGACUCCUACGGGAGGCAGCAGUGGGGAAUAUUGCACAAUGGGCGGAAGCCUGAUGCAGCAACGCCGCGUGCGGGAUGACGGCCUUCGGGUUGUAAACCGCUUUCGCCUGUGACGAAGCGUGAGUGACGGUAAUGGGUAAAAAAGCACCGGCUAACUACGUG